RNAcentral lists this ribosomal RNA (417 nucleotides) under uncultured bacterium. RNAcentral describes it as "bacterial SSU rRNA". It matches the Rfam family "Bacterial small subunit ribosomal RNA", at positions 355 to 764 of the family's 1533-position model. The record is from RNAcentral.
UAGGGAAUAUUGGACAAUGGGGGCAACCCUGAUCCAGCCAUGCCGCGUGAGUGAAGAAGGCCCUCGGGUUGUAAAGCUCUUUUGUCCGGAAAGAAAAGCUUCGGGUUAAUACCCCGGGGUUCUGACGGUACCGGAAGAAUAAGCACCGGCUAACUUCGUGCCAGCAGCCGCGGUAAUACGAAGGGUGCAAGCGUUACUCGGAAUUACUGGGCGUAAAGCGUGCGUAGGUGGUUGUUUAAGUCUAAUGUGAAAGCCCUGGGCUCAACCUUGGAAUGGCAUUGGNAACUGGGCAGCUAGAGUGCGGUAGAGGGUAGUGGAAUUCCCGGUGUAGCCGUGAAAUGCGUAGAGAUCGGGAGGAGCAUCUGUGGCGAAGGCGACUGCCUGGACCAGCACUGACACUGAGGCACGAAAGCGUGG